Molecule: ribosomal RNA, 237 nt
Filed under: uncultured bacterium
Lineage: Bacteria
Description: partial 16S ribosomal RNA
Rfam family: Bacterial small subunit ribosomal RNA
Source: RNAcentral
UGAGCAAUCUGCCCUUCUCUUCGGAAUAAGCGUUGGAAACGACGUCUAAUGCCGAAUACGACCUCCUUUCGCACGAUCGGAGGUGGAAAGCUCCGGCGGAGAAGGAUGAGCUCGCGGCCUAUCAGCUAGUUGGUGAGGUAAUAGCUCACCAAGGCAACGACGGGUAGCCGGCCUGAGAGGGUGACCGGCCACACUGGGACUGAGAUACGGCCCAGACCUCCGUACGGGACGGNAGCG